GUGGACAUAGUUUAAGCCAAAACACCAGGCCGUGAACCUGAAAACAGAGACUCAUCU
This 57-nucleotide transfer RNA is filed under the name Varanus baritji. Its description in RNAcentral is "partial tRNA-His". The record is from RNAcentral. Lineage: Eukaryota; Metazoa; Chordata; Lepidosauria; Squamata; Varanidae.